This 781-nucleotide ribosomal RNA is filed under the name uncultured Neocallimastigales. RNAcentral describes it as "partial large subunit ribosomal RNA". It matches the Rfam family "Eukaryotic large subunit ribosomal RNA", at positions 23 to 646 of the family's 3401-position model. The record is from RNAcentral. Lineage: Eukaryota; Fungi; Neocallimastigomycota; Neocallimastigomycetes; Neocallimastigales.
AGAGAGAGACAUGCGUGCAUAUCAAUAAGCGGAGGAAAAGAAACUAACUAGGAUUCCCUCAGUAACGGCGAGUGAAGCGGGAAGAGCUCAAAUUUGAAAUCUUCAAGGUUCUACCUUGACGAAUUGUAGUUUAAAGAAGUGUUUUCUGUUGGAGUUUUGGUAAAAGUUCUUUGGAAUAGGACAUCAUAGAGGGUGAGAAUCCCGUAUUUGACCAUUUACUUUCAGCUGUGUGAUACACUUUCAAAGAGUCGGAUUGUUUGGGAAUGCAGUCCAAAAUGGGUGGUAAAUUUCAUCUAAAGCUAAAUAUUGGCGAGAGACCGAUAGCGAACAAGUACCGUGAGGGAAAGAUGAAAAGAACUUUGAAAAGAGAGUUAAACAGUACGUGAAUAUUGUCAAAAGGGAAGCGUUUGACACCAGUGUUGUUUUUCUCGAAAAUCAAUUAAAGAAGCAUGAUUUAUGUAGUUGUAUUAGACUUUAUCAGCUUAUCUGCUACUCUUUUCUUGUCUUUUUUAAUGCACUUUUCAGUUAACAAGUCAACAUCAAUUUCUUUUGUUGUAAAAGGGUCAUUGGAAGGUGGCUUUCUUUUCGGAGAAAGUGUUUAUAGCCUUUGGCCUCUGCAAUCGGAGAGAUUGAGGUCUGCAGCGUAGAUCCUUCGGGGUUAGAUACAUUUGUGCUAAGUUAUAGCCUUUCAUAGACAACUUGUUGACUAUGAUCAGUCAUGUAGCUUACUCGCUUAUGCUAUUUUACCUACGCUUAGGAUGUUGAUGUGAUACUGCGAGCA